AACAAGGCGUACCUGCGGACCUGCGGAAGGAUCAUUACCAGAGUGCCUUCAGGCUCUCCAACCCACUGUGAACAUACCUACGUUCCCCCGGCGGGCUCAGCGCGCGGCGGCUCCGGCCGCCCGCGUCCGCCGAGGGCAUCUCAAACCCGAAUUUAUUCGUGUCUUCUGAGGGGCGAAAGCCCGUAAAACAAAAUGAAUCAAAACUUUCAACAACGGAUCU
RNAcentral lists this unclassified non-coding RNA (220 nucleotides) under soil metagenome. RNAcentral's name for it is "partial contains 5.8S ribosomal RNA, internal transcribed spacer 2, and large subunit ribosomal RNA". The record is from RNAcentral.